GACGAACGCUGGCGGCGCGCCUAACACAUGCAAGUCGAACGAGAGAUGAGGAGCUUGCUCUUCAAAUCGAGUGGCGAACGGGUGAGUAACGCGUGAGGAACCUGCCUCAAAGAGGGGGACAACAGUUGGAAACGACUGCUAAUACCGCAUAAGCCCACGGCUCGGCAUCGAGCAGAGGGAAAAGGAGCAAUCCGCUUUGAGAUGGCCUCGCGUCCGAUUAGCUGGUUGGUGAGGUAACGGCCCACCAAGGCGACGAUCGGUAGCCGGACUGAGAGGUUGAACGGCCACAUUGGGACUGAGACACGGCCCAGACUCCUACGGGAGGCAGCAGUGGGGGAUAUUGCACAAUGAGGGAAACCCUGAUGCAGCAACGCCGCGUGAGGGAAGAAGGUUUUCGGAUUGUAAACCUCUGUCCUUGGUGAAGAUAAUGACGGUAGCCAAGGAGGAAGCUCCGGCUAACUACGUG
Molecule: ribosomal RNA, 466 nt
Filed under: uncultured bacterium
Lineage: Bacteria
Description: bacterial SSU rRNA
Rfam family: Bacterial small subunit ribosomal RNA
Source: RNAcentral